CGGCGAGUGAAGCGGCAACAGCUCAAAUUUGAAAGCUGGCUCCUUCGGAGUCCGCGUUGUAAUUUGUAGAGGAUGAUUCGGCGAGGGCUCCCGCCUAAGUCCCCUGGAACGGGGCGUCAUAGAGGGUGAGAAUCCCGUAUGCGGUGGGUUGCCUUAGCCAUGUGAAUCUCCUUCGACGAGUCGAGUUGUUUGGGAAUGCAGCUCUAAAUGGGAGGUAAAUUUCUUCUAAAGCUAAAUACCGGCCAGAGACCGAUAGCGCACAAGUAGAGUGAUCGAAAGAUGAAAAGCACUUUGGAAAGAGAGUUAAAAAGUACGUGAAAUUGUUGAAAGGGAAGCGCUUGCAGCCAGACUUGUCCGCAGUUGCUCAACCGGUCUCCUGACCGGUGUACUCUUCUGCGGCCAGGCCAGCAUCAGUUCGGGCGGUCGGAUAAAGGCCCUGGGAAUGUAGCUCCUCUCGGGGAGUGUUAUAGCCCAGGGUGGAAUGCGGCCAGCCUGGACUGAGGAUCUCGCUUCGGCUAGGAUGCUGGCGUAAUGGCUGUAAGCGGCCCGUCUUGAAACACGGACCAAGGAGUCUAACAUCUAUGCGAGUGUUUGGGUGUCAAACCCAUGCGCGUAAUGAAAGUGAACGGAGGUGGGAACCCUCACGGGUGCACCAUCGACCGAUCCUGAUGUCUUCGGAUGGAUUUGAGUAAGAGCAUAGCUGUUGGGACCCGAAAGAUGGUGAACUAUGCCUGAAUAGGGUGAAGCCAGAGGAAACUCUGGUGGAGGCUCGCAGCGGUUCUGACGUGCAAAUCGAUCGUCAAAUUUGGGUAUAGGGGCGAAAGACUAAUCGAACCAUC
This 839-nucleotide ribosomal RNA is filed under the name Macrophomina phaseolina. RNAcentral's name for it is "eukaryotic LSU rRNA". It matches the Rfam family "Eukaryotic large subunit ribosomal RNA", at positions 87 to 944 of the family's 3401-position model. Lineage: Eukaryota; Fungi; Ascomycota; Dothideomycetes; Botryosphaeriales; Botryosphaeriaceae. The record is from RNAcentral.